Molecule: ribosomal RNA, 254 nt
Filed under: uncultured bacterium
Lineage: Bacteria
Description: partial 16S ribosomal RNA
Rfam family: Bacterial small subunit ribosomal RNA
Source: RNAcentral
UACAGGGGGUGCAAACGUUGCUCGGAAUCAUUGGGCGUAAAGCGCACGUAGGCGGUUCGUUAUGUCGGAUGUGAAAGCCCUUGGCUUAACCGAGGAAGUGCAUCCGAAACUGGCGAGCUAGAGUACGAAAAGAGGAUCGCGGAAUUCCCGGUGUAGAGGUGAAAUUCGUAGAUAUCGGGAGGAACACCGGUGGCGAAGGCGGCGAUCUGGGUCGAUACUGACGCUGAGGUGCGAAAGCGUGGGGAACAAACAGG